UAUAUAGUUAAUGUGCCCCAAAGACUAGGAUAGCCACUGGAAACGGUGAUUAAUACUGGAUAAGCCUCUAUCGCAUAAGUGAGCGAGGAAAACGUUUUUUCGCUUUGGGAUCAGACUAUAUCCUAUCAGCUUGUUGGUGAGGUAAGAGCUCACCAAGGCAAUGACGGGUAGCGGGUUUGAGAGGAUGAUCCGCCACACUGGUACUGAGACACGGACCAG
RNAcentral lists this ribosomal RNA (219 nucleotides) under uncultured bacterium. Its description in RNAcentral is "partial 16S ribosomal RNA". It matches the Rfam family "Bacterial small subunit ribosomal RNA", at positions 114 to 334 of the family's 1533-position model. The record is from RNAcentral.